Long non-coding RNA from Carassius auratus (goldfish), 1929 nucleotides. The record is from Ensembl. Lineage: Eukaryota; Metazoa; Chordata; Actinopteri; Cypriniformes; Cyprinidae.
CUGAUAUACAAGCAGCUGCUUUAGAGGAGGAGAUCAAAGGAUUGGAGCUAGAUGACCUACAACAGGAAAUAGAAGAGGAAAGGAACGCUGACUUAGAAGCGGCAGCAUUGGGUGCACAAGCCAGAGAAGGACAGCGGCUGCAAGAGGAAGCACAUCUGGCUAAAGAGAGAAUAGCUAGAGAGAUGGGAAGACGCAGGCGCUUAAAGAAACAUGAGAAGGAGAUGCACAUUGCCAGUCUUGUAAAGACCUACCUGACAGGGACGAAUGAUGAUUCCUUGUCUACGUCGUCAGCUCCUGCUACGUUCUCCAAGCUACCUCUGCCAUCACAAUUGGUUCAACAGCCACCUCAGGUGCAAUUAAUCCCCAAGCAGCAUCCACCUGUGCAACAGCCAAAUCCAGAGCCAGUUCCGAUAACACCUCUCUCCACUGUUCCUACUCCGAUAUUAGCACCACCUGCUAAUCCCGUCACGAGUGCCCAGAUCAGUUUUCCUGUCAGCGCAGCAUCGAUUGCAGUACCAGUCUCUGGACUUCCCUCUGUACCUGUCUCAUUCGUUCCCGUCCUACCCACGGUACAGGCAGGUGGAGCGUCACCGAUGGCAAGGUCUUCUGUCACAACUAAUCUACCAUCUCAGUACAUAGGGGCUCCAGCUACCAGUACAAGCUUCACAAUGCCACCACGAGCAGUUAAAGUGGCACCGCCACCUCUUGCAGUGCAGUAUACUCACCGCAGUAUACCAACUGCAACACCAGUUCAGGCAGCAUUACCCUUGACCUACCCAGGUAUGGAAACCCUGAUUGCUACAUCUUAUGGCAUUCCCAAACCAACACUUCCCUUCUUCGAGAGUGGCAAAGAAAGUGAUUUCGCACUUUUGAAGAUGGCGCUCGACAACUUGAUGAAUAGUCACCCUCAUCUCAGCGAGCACUAUAAAUAUCAAGUUCUUCUGAGUCAGCUCAAGCUUCAGAGUGCUCUGCAGUUGGCUAAAUCAUACAUGUAUGACCCCGCACCGUAUACAGCUGCAAUGGGAGCUCUGCAAGACAAAUAUGGCCAGCCAAGACAACUGGUUCAAAGUGAACUAGCGGCAAUACUCAACUCCCCAGCCAUUAAGUCAGGAGACACAGAGGCAUUUGACUCCUUCGCUCUCUCAGUCCAGUUGCUGGUCGGUAUGCUGCACACUUUAGAGGGACCAGUUGGAUACGAGCUCAGGUGUGGUUCUCAUGUUGACUGUCUUUUAAGCAAAAUGUCUCCUUCCCACAGAGAUGGAUUUGUGGAAUAUUGUCUCAUUCACGGCAUCCUGCAGCCAGGUUCAGAGCUCACCUACUCUCUGCCCGACCUUGCUGCAUGGCUGCAGAUGAAGGCUCAAGCCAAGCGUCUUGCCAGUCGAGCUACUCUUCUCUACAAUUCUACAGGGCCUACCCUUCCAAAGAGAGAUCAACGUAGUUCAAAGCCCAAAGAUAAAAUAGCGUCAGUCUUCCUCUGCUCUGGUGAGACAGCUAACAAGGAGACCUUUCAUGUGAAGUCCCAAGCUUUCAAACUCAGUCCUUAUUGUCCAUUCUGCAACAAUAAGGAGCACUACCUUAACUCAUGCCCCGACUUUAAGAAAAUGUCUACUGCUGAGAUUAAGAAGUGGAUCCAGGAAGGUGACAGAUGUUGGAAAUGCGGCCGCGGCCACAAAGCUACAGCCUGCACGCUUAAACGCCCCUGUAAGAUUUGCAAAGAGAAACACCUUACAGUCCUCCAUGACACCAUUCAAGAGUCAUCCCAGAAAGUGCUGAUGGUCAGUAAUCCGAAACCCAUUGUCUACAUUGAGCAGCCCCGAAGCCCUCAGAGAGUGUUACUGAAGGUUGUCAAAGUGCUCCUGCAUCAUGGAGAUCGCACUCUUGAGACAUUUGCAGUGCUCGAUGAUGAUUCGGAGAGAACGAUUAUCCUCC